This 345-nucleotide unclassified non-coding RNA is filed under the name soil metagenome. RNAcentral's name for it is "partial contains 5.8S ribosomal RNA, internal transcribed spacer 2, and large subunit ribosomal RNA". The stretch from base 1 to 120 matches the Rfam family "5.8S ribosomal RNA", at positions 35 to 154 of the family's 154-position model. The record is from RNAcentral.
GAUGAAGAACGCAGCGAAAUGCGAUACGUAAUGUGAAUUGCAGAAUUCAGUGAAUCAUCGAGUCUUUGAACGCACAUUGCGCCCCCUGGUAUUCCGGGGGGCAUGCCUGUCCGAGCGUCAUUGCUGCCCUCAAGCACGGCUUGUGUGUUGGGCCUCCGUCCUCCUCCCGGGGGACGGGCCCGAAAGGCAGCGGCGGCACCGCGUCCGGUCCUCGAGCGUAUGGGGCUUCGUCACCCGCUCUUGUAGGCCCGGCCGGCGCUUGCCGACACAUCAAUCUUUUUUCCAGGUUGACCUCGGAUCAGGUAGGGAUACCCGCUGAACUUAAGCAAAUCAAUAAGCGGAGGA